GACGAACGCUGGCGGCGUGCUUAACACAUGCAAGUCGAACGGAAAGGCCCUGCUUUUGUGGGGUGCUCGAGUGGCGAACGGGUGAGUAACACGUGAGUAACCUGCCCUUGACUUUGGGAUAACUUCAGGAAACUGGGGCUAAUACCGGAUAGGAGCUCCUGCUGCAUGGUGGGGGUGGGAAAGUUUCGGCGGUUGGGGAUGGACUCGCGGCUUAUCAGCUUGUUGGUGGGGUAGUGGCUUACCAAGGCUUUGACGGGUAGCCGGCCUGAGAGGGUGACCGGCCACAUUGGGACUGCGAUACGGCCCAGACUCCUACGGGAGGCAGCAGUGGGGAAUAUUGCCCAAUGGGCGGAAGCCUGAUGCAGCAACGCCGCGUGCGGGAUGACGGCCUUCGGGUUGUAAACCGCUUUCGCCUGUGACGAAGCGUGAGUGACGGUAAUGGGUAAAGAAGCACCGGCUAACUACGUG
This 468-nucleotide ribosomal RNA is filed under the name uncultured bacterium. RNAcentral describes it as "partial 16S ribosomal RNA". It matches the Rfam family "Bacterial small subunit ribosomal RNA", at positions 28 to 507 of the family's 1533-position model. The record is from RNAcentral.